RNAcentral lists this ribosomal RNA (489 nucleotides) under uncultured bacterium. RNAcentral describes it as "partial 16S ribosomal RNA". It matches the Rfam family "Bacterial small subunit ribosomal RNA", at positions 28 to 507 of the family's 1533-position model. The record is from RNAcentral.
GAUGAACGCUAGCUACAGGCUUAACACAUGCAAGUCGAGGGGCAGCAUGAACUUAGCUUGCUAAGUUUGAUGGCGACCGGCGCACGGGUGAGUAACACGUAUCCAACCUGCCGAUGACUCGGGGAUAGCCUUUCGAAAGAAAGAUUAAUACCCGAUGGCAUAGUUCUUCCGCAUGGUAGAACUAUUAAAGAAUUUCGGUCAUCGAUGGGGAUGCGUUCCAUUAGGUUGUUGGCGGGGUAACGGCCCACCAAGCCUUCGAUGGAUAGGGGUUCUGAGAGGAAGGUCCCCCACAGUGGAACUGAGACACGGUCCAAACUCCUACGGGAGGCAGCAGUGAGGAAUAUUGGUCAAUGGACGAGAGUCUGAACCAGCCAAGUAGCGUGAAGGAGGACUGCCCUAUGGGUUGUAAACUUCUUUUAUACGGGAAUAAAGUGAGGCACGUGUGCCUUUUUGUAUGUACCGUAUGAAUAAGGAUCGGCUAACUCCGUG